GCCUGCCUGGCUGAGUUGGUGGAGCAUGUGACUCUUGAUCUUGGGGUCGUGAGUUCAAAUCCCGUGUUAGGUA
RNAcentral lists this transfer RNA (73 nucleotides) under Felis catus (domestic cat). It matches the Rfam family "tRNA". Rfam says of the family: Transfer RNA (tRNA) molecules are approximately 80 nucleotides in length. Their secondary structure includes four short double-helical elements and three loops (D, anti-codon, and T loops). Further hydrogen bonds mediate the characteristic L-shaped molecular structure. tRNAs have two regions of fundamental functional importance: the anti-codon, which is responsible for specific mRNA codon recognition, and the 3' end, to which the tRNAs corresponding amino acid is attached (by aminoacyl-tRNA synthetases). tRNAs cope with the degeneracy of the genetic code in two manners: having more than one tRNA (with a specific anti-codon) for a particular amino acid; and 'wobble' base-pairing, i.e. permitting non-standard base-pairing at the 3rd anti-codon position. Lineage: Eukaryota; Metazoa; Chordata; Mammalia; Carnivora; Felidae. The record is from Rfam by way of RNAcentral.